This is a non-coding RNA of Lonchura striata (white-rumped munia), 374 nucleotides long. The record is from RefSeq and is a predicted model, not a curated record. NCBI's taxonomy places the organism in Eukaryota, Metazoa, Chordata, Aves, Passeriformes, Estrildidae.
AACAAUCUGGUUUUAUCUGAUUUCAGAUGAAGUCAUAUAUUUUCUUGUAUCUUGAUGGUUUGUUUAAAACCAGAUCUUCCUGAUUUGGAGCCAGAGAUGCUGACAGAGUUGAUUUUGAAUUGCAGUUGCCCCUGAAGUUGUAAUGGUUCAAAAUCAGGUAAAAGUCUCUACUGAAAAAAAGAAUGCACAGAAUUGCUAUUUUGUCAAGGAAGAAUAAGUGAGAUUGAAGAAGAGAAGAAUGAGCGAGAAUGAAUGAGGAUAAAUGACUGUUGUAACAAAAUGCAUGUAUUUCUGCAGAUCUUAUUUUCAUAAAGGAAAGCUAUUCCUUUUCAGAAAUGUCAUAAAUUCCGUGUAUUAGCAAAGACAGCAUGCCG